UUCUGCUCUGCCAGCUGGUGUUCCAAAGCUUAGUUAUCACUUUGCAUCAUCUCACAAGUACGUUCCCAGGCGAGCUGUGCUGUAUGUACCUGCAGAUGAUGAAAAGAAGAUACGAAAAAUCCCUUCCCUACAUGUAGACUGUGCGGUGCUGGACUGCGAAGACGGUGUGGCUCUCAACAGAAAGAGAGAAGCAAGGCUGA
Tinamus guttatus (white-throated tinamou) is the source of this 200-nucleotide non-coding RNA. The record is from RefSeq and is a predicted model, not a curated record. NCBI's taxonomy places the organism in Eukaryota, Metazoa, Chordata, Aves, Tinamiformes, Tinamidae.